GACAGAGGGUGCAAGCGUUGUUCGGAAUUAUUGGGCGUAAAGGGCGCGUAGGCGGCUACAUAAGUCAUUUGUGAAAGCCCGGGGCUUAACCUCGGAAGUGCAAGUGAUACUGCGUAGCUUGAGUCUCGGAGAGGGUGGUGGAAUUCCCAGUGUAGAGGUGAAAUUCGUAGAUAUUGGGAGGAACACCGGUGGCGAAGGCGACCACCUGGACGAAGACUGACGCUGAGGCGCGAAAGCGUGGGGAGCAAACAGG
RNAcentral lists this ribosomal RNA (253 nucleotides) under uncultured bacterium. RNAcentral describes it as "partial 16S ribosomal RNA". It matches the Rfam family "Bacterial small subunit ribosomal RNA", at positions 524 to 776 of the family's 1533-position model. The record is from RNAcentral.